Molecule: long non-coding RNA, 2454 nt
Organism: Alligator mississippiensis (American alligator)
Lineage: Eukaryota; Metazoa; Chordata; Crocodylia; Alligatoridae
Exons: 5
Source: RefSeq, a predicted model, not a curated record
CUGGGAGGGGGACUCAGUCCCCUUGAUAGGGGCGGGCAGGGAGCAGGCUCCGCCCCCUGCUGUGGGCGGGGCUAAGCUGUCUAGGCCGUUGGGACGGUUACGCUCCUCUCAGUCCAUCCCUCCCCCGGGCGGCGGAGGCUGGUGUGGGGGAGGGGGCCGCUAGUACAUGGGACCCCCCCGACCUCCAGGCUUUGUACCAAAGGGCCGUGUCAGGGCAGGGGCGUGGCGAAAACAACCCCUCAAACCCCUCUGAAGGCCCAGCCCCAGGCUACUGGUUUUGUGCCUUGCUUUCCUCAGAGCCUCAGCACGUGCGUCACUGCGCGCUGUGGACGCCACUAGGGCAGAUAAUACUCUGGCGCCCAUCCAUCGGUGCAUCGCCAGUAAAGACAAGGAGGCUUCAAGGAACUCACUCUCAGAAAACAAGCAGCAGCAGAAAAUGCAGGGAACAGGGCAGAUGGCGAUGGUGACACAGCAGUAGAGCACGAGGAUGCUGGUAUUCCCAUAGCAUCCUUAUAUAGUCCAAAAGCAGAAAUAGCUCAUCUAAAAAUGGCCAUCUCAGAGAGGGUUGUGAUCUAAAUAAAAGCAGAGGAGCUCUAGUCUUGGCAACAUGGAGGAGGAGUGCAAUUUUCCGAACAAAUUUCUUAAAUUUUCUGGCAUCAACAAUGCACAGCCUUCACAGCGGACUUUUCAUUGUCAAAGCGCCGUACAACAUUCACUGAUCCAUCCUGUAACAACCAUGUUGGAGAAAUACUUCAGGACAGGUCAUGACUAGAGAUGAGAGCAAAGCUCCCGGCCUCCCCAGUUGGGACAGGAUGAGGAUGGAGCACUGAAAGGCUACCUCUCUGCGGACAAAUUCUUCUUCUGACUAUGGGCUGGAACCCAUAACAUCUUACUCACCACAAUAAUUAGUUGAAAAUGCUGGGACUUCUUAUGUGAGAAGCAUAACUCAGUGAAGCACUUAAGGUUGUCGUAAGUAAUUGGCUCAUUCAGAAGAUCAAGAAGGAUUGUUUUCCUCCCCCUGUGUUUGGCUGUUGCCUUUCCUUUGUAGCAUGAGGCAUGGCUCACCUGCUGGGAUCAGCUGCAUAAAUGUCACCUGACCUAUUCCAUGCAGUGCAGGUCUUGGGUAUUGGUGGCACCUUAAUCUUUUCUUUUCUCUGAAACAUCCAGUGUAGCCCCUGCCACCAUCCAGUGUACUGACCCUGGUGUACUGACACCUCUGGAAUGUUAUAUGACAGGACUAAAAUCUACAGCCUUCCUCUCAUUUAUUUUUAAGGGAUGGCAACUGAUAAUCAAGAAAAAAUAAAAACCAGAGCUUCCUUUUGAAUUGCACUUUCCGUUACAAUGAAUCUCAAGUGUAUACAGCGGAAAAUACCACAGUGGAGUGAAAGGAAGAGCAGAAAUUCUGAGAUGCCUCUGAAUUUAUCUGUCUCUCUUGAGAACUGCCUGGUGCAAUCACUUAUGUCUGUAUAUUUUUAGAGGCUGUUUAGGAGCAGCCAGGAUUUAUUUGCAGUCUGUUCUGAAGAUUCACAGUUAUCUAAAUCUUGCCCAAGAAUAAAACUUCACGCGCAUAAAAAUCUGAACAGCUGGACCAGCAACUCUCAGCUAAUUCUUUUUUUAUUUGACACCCACGUUACAAAAUUUAGAAACCAGAGACAGUUCAGGCAAACUGUUAAAACACAGUAUAAAUUAAGGUUUUAAUAUACAAAUUCUAUACAAGGAUAAAUUAGCUUGAACAUGACUGACAAAUGGGUUUUGUAGCAAUCUCACCACAGCUGUAUAAAAAGGCAUGGGAAUGGGUUAGACACUAUAGUCAUGAAUGCAGGUUAAGACAUUUUCCACAAACAGUUAUAAAGCCGAUCAAUGACCAUGCUACUCUUGCAGUGUUUAUGCAGGGAGGGUUCAGUAUGCGUAUUACCAUUAACAAUUUGUAAGAUCUAUGUACAGUCACAAAAUCACAAUAGCCAUUUUCAAGUAACCUGACAGCUUCCUGCCUGUGCAGUUAAUAAAGUGUCAAUAUUAAUUUGAAAACUCCUAUUUAACAAAGCUUCAUUGUUCGAGUGUAAUGGAUACUACCGUGAUUUCUGCUUGACCUGAAAAUGCUAAUCAUAAUAUGAAGUAACUCGCUUUAAAAAAUAAUACAGGAAAAACAGCUACUCAUUAUGAUUGCUCACAUGAUCAAGAGACACUCAAGACUUCAAUGCCAUACUUCUUUCAAUGCCCAGUUUGUUUCUUUCUUUUAAAAAGUCUUUGUCACAACACAUUCCCAGUGUUUAUAAGUACAGUUGUACAAAAAGUCAAAUAGCAAAGGUGUAAAAACAGAAUCUGAUAAUACCACGCGUAACAUUUGUUAGACAUCUGGAAUGUACAGCCAUGAUUUUUGAGUACAGGGACAAGACAGCAGUUGCGGAGGCUGCCACAUUUAAUAAAACUAGCUAAAAGUGCAACAAAUCUUAA